CUUAAAUAACUGCUCAAUUAUUUAUACGAAGCACCUGGGUUACCUUACAAUCUGUUGUUUUAAAAAUAUUUUGUUUAUUAUUGUAUUUUUUUUAGUGUUUUGUAUUUUUUAUAGUUGCAUUUAGUGUGCCAAAAAAUAUGUUGUGAAAACUUGAUGUUCGUGACGUCACACAUACAAUAUGGAAACUUGACGUUCGUGACGUUACAUACCAAACAAUGACGUCAUUCAAAAAAUUGACCUAUUUUGAGGAAAUUUUUUCUUUAGGGAAAAAAAACCCAAAAAACUGACUUUAUGUUAAAAAAAAAAAAAAAAAAAAAAAAGUAUGCGAUACGGGUUUUACCAUGCGAUACGGGGUAUGCGAUAUAGGGUAGGUGAUACAGACUGGAAAAACGAACAUUUAUUAGAUAUACAAAAUAGCUGUAUUUUGUACUAAAUAUAUGAUAAAUAGAGAAUAAUACAUGGCAAAAUCCGUAUCAUAUGUCGUAUCAUCCCGAGACAUCAAUAUCAGCCCAAGGGCCUUAAGGCCCGAGGGAUGAUAUUGGUCGAGGGUGAUACGGCAUGUGAUACGGAUUUUGCCAUGUAUUAUACGCUUUAUCAUAUAUUUCAACAGAAGAGUAUUAUAGUAUAUGAACUGUUUUCUGAUCCAUAGCACUGGGUUACCUUCAGUUCUGGUUUUGUCUUGUGUCAAAGCUUUAAAAUAACUGCUCAAUUAUUUAUACGAAGCACCUAGGUUACCUUACAAUCUGUUGUUUUGAAAAUAUUUUGUUUAUUAUUGUAUAUAUCUAAGUGUUUUAUAGUUGCAUUGAGUGUGCCAAAAAAUAUGUUGUAAAAACUUGAUGUUCGUGACGUCACAUACAAUAUGAAAACUUGAUGUACGUGACGUUACAUACCAAACAAUGACGUCAUUCCAAAAAAUUACCUAUUUUUAGAAAAAAAAUUCUUAAGCAAAAAAAAACCCUAAAAAACUGACUUUAUGUAAAAAAAAAAAACAAAAAAGGUAUGCGAUACGGGGUAUGCGAUACGGGUUUAGCCAUGCGAUACGGGGUAUGCGAUACAGGGUAGGUGAUACAGACUGGAAAAAAGAACCUUUAUUAGAUAUACAAAAUAGCUGUAUUUUGUACUAAAUAUAUGAUAAAUCAGAUUAUUACAUGGCAUUU
Molecule: long non-coding RNA, 1157 nt
Filed under: Mytilus galloprovincialis (Mediterranean mussel)
Lineage: Eukaryota; Metazoa; Mollusca; Bivalvia; Mytilida; Mytilidae
Source: RNAcentral